Molecule: ribosomal RNA, 492 nt
Filed under: uncultured bacterium
Lineage: Bacteria
Description: partial 16S ribosomal RNA
Rfam family: Bacterial small subunit ribosomal RNA
Source: RNAcentral
AGUGAACGCUGGCGGCAUGCCUAACACAUGCAAGUCGAACGGCAGCACAGUAAGAGUUUGCUCUUACGGGUGGCGAGUGGCGGGCGGGUGAGGAAUACAUCGGAAUCUACUUUUUCGUGGGGGAUAACGUAGGGAAAGUUACGAUAAUACAGCAUAUGACCUACGGGUGAAAGCAGGGGAUCUUCGCACCUUGCGCGAUUGAAUUAGCCGAUGCCGGAUUAGCUAGUUGGGGGGGUAAAGGCCCACCAAGGCGACGAUCCGUAGCUGGUCUGAGAGGAUGAGAGGCCACCCGGGAACGGAGCCACGGUCCAGACCCCUACGGGAGGCAGCAGUGGGGAAUAUGGGGCAAUGGGCGCAAGCCUGACCCAGCAAUCCCGCGUGGGUGAAGAAGGCCUUCGGUUUGUAAAGCCCUUUUGUUGGGGAAGAACAGCUGUGGGUUAAUACCCGGCUGUUCUGACGGUACCCAAUGAAAAAGCGCCGGCUAACUUCGUG